AUUAAUUUAAAUCUAAAUAUCAGAAUUUAAAUCUAAAUGUAGAUUUGUGUAGAUUUGUGCAUAUAUAUAUAUAUAUUGCAUAAUAAAUAAGCAAGGCUAUGCACAAAACUUCCAGUGCAAAAUAUUGCUGAGUGAAAUAUUGCUGAGUGACUUUUCCUUUCUCUUGUGGAAAUUGUGAGAAUUGACUAGGAAUAUGUGAGAAGAUGAAGGUUUAGCCGAGUUCACAGGCCAUGAAUCUGCAGUGAAGAGCAAGCGAAAGCAAGAUCCUGGAAGAUACUGGCAAGUGGCCGGAUCACAGAAUCCAGGUUAGAAAGGGGGGAAAAAAAGGUCAAGAG
This 335-nucleotide long non-coding RNA is filed under the name Homo sapiens (human). Its description in RNAcentral is "HSALNT0367861". Lineage: Eukaryota; Metazoa; Chordata; Mammalia; Primates; Hominidae. The record is from RNAcentral.